This 315-nucleotide ribosomal RNA is filed under the name Triticum aestivum (bread wheat). RNAcentral's name for it is "partial small subunit ribosomal RNA". The record is from RNAcentral. Lineage: Eukaryota; Viridiplantae; Streptophyta; Magnoliopsida; Poales; Poaceae.
AUGUUUAGGCGUUUGUUUGUUUUCCUCCAGCUUUGCACUAAAUUAGUACUAUCCCUGAGUGAAGAUAACGUUUCCAGUAAGAGAAUUGACAAUACUGACAAUGACGUGAUAUUUCAUAGCGUUGUCAAUGUCAGCUUCGUCGUCGAAGAACCUUCCGACGCAAUUUUCCGCUGGCAUGUCCCAUUGAAUGUCAUUGCUUUUAUCAUGGCAUCCAACACUUGCAGAUGUGACUCAAAAGGGGGUUCUGAAGCUGAUGAACUUGGAUGGCCUGACAGUCUACCAUACCAACAACCAUCUCCAAGUACACAAACUUGA